ACGGGAGGCAGCAGUGGGGGAUAUUGCACAAUGGGGGGAACCCUGAUGCAGCGACGCCGCGUGGGUGAAGAAGCGCCUCGGCGCGUAAAGCCCUGUCAGCAGGGAAGAAAAUGACGGUACCUGAAGAAGAAGCCCCGGCUAACUACGUGCCAGCAGCCGCGGUAAUACGUAGGGGGCAAGCGUUAUCCGGAUUUACUGGGUGUAAAGGGGGCGCAGACGGCGAUGCAAGCCAGGAGUGAAAGCCCGGGGCCCAACCCCGGGACUGCUCUUGGAACUGCGUGGCUGGAGUGCAGGAGGGGCAGGCG
This 305-nucleotide ribosomal RNA is filed under the name uncultured bacterium. Its description in RNAcentral is "bacterial SSU rRNA". It matches the Rfam family "Bacterial small subunit ribosomal RNA", at positions 341 to 663 of the family's 1533-position model. The record is from RNAcentral.